This is a non-coding RNA of Cyprinus carpio (common carp), 438 nucleotides long. NCBI's taxonomy places the organism in Eukaryota, Metazoa, Chordata, Actinopteri, Cypriniformes, Cyprinidae. The record is from the annotation of a RefSeq genome assembly.
UUUACAGAGCAGAGUGAAAAUACAACCAGCAUCAUGUACUGCAUAUCAGUACUGCUAGUUUUGGCAGCUGCACACUGUCUUUUCUGUAUUGAGCUGGAUCAGCCUCCUGUCAUGGUUGUAAAACCAGGAGAAACAUUUACCAUCUCCUGUAAGAUCACUGGAUAUUCAGCCUCAGGUGGAGGCUACACAAACUGGAUCAGACAUUCAAGUGGAAAACCGAUGGAGUGGAUUGGAUAUUUGUAUAGUUCCAGUAGCAAUCGUGUCACAGAUUCUCUGAAAAAUAAGAUCAGUUUCUCUUCUGAAUCCUCCAGCAACACAGUUAUUUUAACAGAAAGGGAUUUCAACUCUGAAGACACAGCUGUGUAUUAUUGUGCUCGUGAUGCACUAUGCCACAAACUGCCACAGGACCCGUACAAAAACUAAACACAAUUUUUUCAA